UGGGGAAUAUUGGACAAUGGGCGAAAGCCUGAUCCAGCCAUGCCGCAUGAGUGAAGAAGGCCUUUGGGUUGUAAAGCUCUUUUAGUGAGGAAGAUAAUGACGGUACUCACAGAAGAAGUCCUGGCUAACUCCGUGCCAGCAGCCGCGGUAAUACGGAGAGGGCUAGCGUUAUUCGGAAUUAUUGGGCGUAAAGGGCGCGUAGGCGGAUUAGUAAGUUAAAAGUGAAAUCCCAAGGCUCAACCUUGGAAUUGCUUUUAAAACUGCUAAUCUAGAGAUUGAAAGAGGAUAGAGGAAUUCCUAGUGUAGAGGUGAAAUUCGUAAAUAUUAGGAGGAACACCAGUGGCGAAGGCGUCUAUCUGGUUCAAAUCUGACGCUGAGGCGCGAAGGCGUGGGGAGCAAACA
RNAcentral lists this ribosomal RNA (402 nucleotides) under uncultured Wolbachia sp. RNAcentral describes it as "bacterial SSU rRNA". It matches the Rfam family "Bacterial small subunit ribosomal RNA", at positions 355 to 774 of the family's 1533-position model. The record is from RNAcentral. Lineage: Bacteria; Pseudomonadati; Pseudomonadota; Alphaproteobacteria; Rickettsiales; Anaplasmataceae.